This 1396-nucleotide ribosomal RNA is filed under the name Streptococcus thermophilus. RNAcentral describes it as "bacterial SSU rRNA". It matches the Rfam family "Bacterial small subunit ribosomal RNA". The record is from RNAcentral. Lineage: Bacteria; Bacillati; Bacillota; Bacilli; Lactobacillales; Streptococcaceae.
UGCAGUAGAACGCUGAAGAGAGGAGCUUGCUCUUCUUGGAUGAGUUGCGAACGGGUGAGUAACGCGUAGGUAACCUGCCUUGUAGCGGGGGAUAACUAUUGGAAACGAUAGCUAAUACCGCAUAACAAUGGAUGACACAUGUCAUUUAUUUGAAAGGGGCAAUUGCUCCACUACAAGAUGGACCUGCGUUGUAUUAGCUAGUAGGUGAGGUAAUGGCUCACCUAGGCGACGAUACAUAGCCGACCUGAGAGGGUGAUCGGCCACACUGGGACUGAGACACGGCCCAGACUCCUACGGGAGGCAGCAGUAGGGAAUCUUCGGCAAUGGGGGCAACCCUGACCGAGCAACGCCGCGUGAGUGAAGAAGGUUUUCGGAUCGUAAAGCUCUGUUGUAAGUCAAGAACGGGUGUGAGAGUGGAAAGUUCACACUGUGACGGUAGCUUACCAGAAAGGGACGGCUAACUACGUGCCAGCAGCCGCGGUAAUACGUAGGUCCCGAGCGUUGUCCGGAUUUAUUGGGCGUAAAGCGAGCGCAGGCGGUUUGAUAAGUCUGAAGUUAAAGGCUGUGGCUCAACCAUAGUUCGCUUUGGAAACUGUCAAACUUGAGUGCAGAAGGGGAGAGUGGAAUUCCAUGUGUAGCGGUGAAAUGCGUAGAUAUAUGGAGGAACACCGGUGGCGAAAGCGGCUCUCUGGUCUGUAACUGACGCUGAGGCUCGAAAGCGUGGGGAGCGAACAGGAUUAGAUACCCUGGUAGUCCACGCCGUAAACGAUGAGUGCUAGGUGUUGGAUCCUUUCCGGGAUUCAGUGCCGCAGCUAACGCAUUAAGCACUCCGCCUGGGGAGUACGACCGCAAGGUUGAAACUCAAAGGAAUUGACGGGGGCCCGCACAAGCGGUGGAGCAUGUGGUUUAAUUCGAAGCAACGCGAAGAACCUUACCAGGUCUUGACAUCCCGAUGCUAUUUCUAGAGAUAGAAAGUUACUUCGGUACAUCGGUGACAGGUGGUGCAUGGUUGUCGUCAGCUCGUGUCGUGAGAUGUUGGGUUAAGUCCCGCAACGAGCGCAACCCCUAUUGUUAGUUGCCAUCAUUCAGUUGGGCACUCUAGCGAGACUGCCGGUAAUAAACCGGAGGAAGGUGGGGAUGACGUCAAAUCAUCAUGCCCCUUAUGACCUGGGCUACACACGUGCUACAAUGGUUGGUACAACGAGUUGCGAGUCGGUGACGGCGAGCUAAUCUCUUAAAGCCAAUCUCAGUUCGGAUUGUAGGCUGCAACUCGCCUACAUGAAGUCGGAAUCGCUAGUAAUCGCGGAUCAGCACGCCGCGGUGAAUACGUUCCCGGGCCUUGUACACACCGCCCGUCACACCACGAGAGUUUGUAACACCCGAAGUCGGUGAGGUA